GGGUUGUGAGGUUAAGCGACUAAGCGUACACGGUGGAUGCCCUGGCAGUCAGAGGCGAUGAAGGACGUGCUAAUCUGCGAUAAGCGCCGGUAAGGUGAUAUGAACCGUUAUAACCGGCGAUUUCCGAAUGGGGAAACCCAGUGUGAUUCGUCACACUAUCAUUAACUGAAUCCAUAGGUUAA
RNAcentral lists this ribosomal RNA (182 nucleotides) under Salmonella enterica subsp. enterica serovar Adelaide. Its description in RNAcentral is "partial 23S ribosomal RNA". It matches the Rfam family "Bacterial large subunit ribosomal RNA", at positions 1 to 174 of the family's 2925-position model. RNAcentral also lists the same sequence under 1 other name. The record is from RNAcentral. Lineage: Bacteria; Pseudomonadati; Pseudomonadota; Gammaproteobacteria; Enterobacterales; Enterobacteriaceae.